RNAcentral lists this unclassified non-coding RNA (332 nucleotides) under uncultured fungus. RNAcentral's name for it is "partial contains 5.8S rRNA and ITS2". Lineage: Eukaryota; Fungi. The record is from RNAcentral.
AACGCAUAUUGCGCUCGCGACCUCGGUCAAGAGCAUGUCUGCCUCAGCGUCGUUUUGAUACCUCACUCCCAUACUUGUUUCCAAGUAUCGUGCAGCCGAUUUCGAUCGGUCUGACGGGGGUGGAUCUGGCUUCCCCGGUUAGGCCUUCUAGGUUCCCGGGUUGGCUGAAGUGAAGAGGCUAGAGCACGGACCCGUUAUGGGCAUCAACUGGAUAGGUAGAACGCCUUUUGGCUACUACACGAAGUUGACUGCUUGUGGACUGUGUUGGCGGCCAAACAGGAAACUUCUCUCACUUCGACCUGAGCUCAGGCAAGACUACCCACUGAACUUAA